Molecule: long non-coding RNA, 2073 nt
Organism: Oxyura jamaicensis (ruddy duck)
Lineage: Eukaryota; Metazoa; Chordata; Aves; Anseriformes; Anatidae
Exons: 2
Source: RefSeq, a predicted model, not a curated record
UCCCCUCCACCUGAGGGCUCAGCUGCCUGGGCUGGGAGACAGCUUCAGGUGCUGGUUCAGGUGCACAGCUGCAAGGAGAGCUGCCCGAGCUGUGCUUGUUAGGGGCUCCUUCUCCUCACCUGGGAGCUAUGCUGAAGCUGAGGAUUUGGGGCUUAGCCCCUCCACGAGCAAUGCUGUUGCCAUGCUUUGUCCUGGCUUGAUCCUGACCCUGUCUCAGAGACUUGCUUCUCUGCCUCGAACUGCUCUCUAUCUGGGGAUCUGGAUCCUUGGCUAAGCCUAGGUUCCUGUACUAGAUCUUCUCUGCUUGCCUUGCUCAGGGCCUGACCCAGUUGCUCAGCCCCACUAGGGAAGUGAAGCAGAGUGAUCACCUCCAAGCUGCAAGUGAAGUGGCAAAGCAAACCUGAAGGAGACUGCUGACCUCCCUGUAGAUUAUCCCUUUGACUCAGAAAAACCUGCUUUUUGUAGCCCUCUCUUUUGACCAGAGAUGUCUUACCAGCUAAAUAUAAAUUAUUCCAGAGGAAGAAAAACAGUAUCUUAUUUGGUGGGGUAUAAGGCUCUCAGGAAAAACAGAAACCAUGCAUGUUGAACAUGAAAAACUCACAAAUUUAACUAUACCUCAUUUCAGAUUAACUUUUCUGCAUCUGCAGACUGUAUGGAGAUUUUCCAGAUACGUAUCAGACCUCCUAAUGCAAUAUCCUUCAUGUGAAAGGAGAGUCAGUUACAUUUUCCUUCUCAGAAGGAAAUAUAAGAAGGAAGAAUAUCCUUCCUCCUCUGAAGGAAGAAUAACUCUUAUUUUUCUCCCUCAAAUCUCUGUCAGAAUGUUGCUCUAUUUAAAGCACUUUCCUUUCACCAUUAACAAGUGCAAGUGACCUUUUUAAUAGUAACAAAGAACAGAAAGGGAGUGUGGAGAGAAUUUUGUAUAUCCGCACAGUGGGAUUCUUGACUGUGCCCUCUCUUACCCUUGCAGAUGAAGCAGUUGUGAGCAUUUAGUGACAAUGAACUUAGUGGCUGACUUCAGGGCAUAUUAGUAUUUUGGGAUAUUUUGGCAACAGCAAACGCUUGAUAAGGAUGCAGUGAAGUAUCCCAUGGAAUUGUUCUAGCCGUGACAAAUAAUUUCACUCACCUUUGCUGACUAAGCAGUAGUUCUUAUAUAUGGUUUCCAGUUGUACUUUAUAAAUGACUUUAAUUUACAGUGCAUUACAUGGUUAUGUCUCUAAAUCCCCAUGCAAUAAUUUGUAUCUUUUCCCUUGAUAGUUUAAUUGUUUGUAUUUUUUUCGAAGGUAACUUCUUGGUAAUCCAAUCCAACAGCUACUUUCCCUUGCUUCUGAAUAGUAAAUCUUUAGGUACUGUUUAUUCAAAUUACCCAAGGUACGGAUUUUACAACUUUUUAAUCUGGAUAAUGCAAACAGUAUUAUUCUUCCUCUUCCUUGGGGGAGAGUGUGUGUGGAGGAGAAAGCACCACAAAAACCUAUUUCUUUGCAUAAAUACAAAGCAGAACAUUUAAUUAGUUUUGCUAGUGUAGCUGACAAAUGGUCUGUAUGUACUAUAAAUGGGGUAUAUAUAUCAUGUAUACUUGCACUUUAGUUAGAACUUUGCAGUAUCUUAAUGCAUCUGUCUAAAGGUUUUAGUUCCAAAAAAUAAAACUUCAUCUUAAUCAAAUCUUUACAGGAAUUUCAUUGUUCUAAGCUCCACAAUAUGAUCCCUGAUACUUUAAAUUCAAGAGAAAAUAGUUGGGUAAAUAAAAUUAUUUGCUAGAUGGCUAUAUGAAAACACACGCACACAUGAGCAAAAGGAAUAGGAAAAACUGAAAAUCUGCCCUAAAGUCAGUCCAGUUUGUUCAUGACAGGUUACUCAGUGUAUGAAACAAAAUAUUGGAACUUUCUUUGCCUGUCAAUGGGUUAGGAAAUAGAACUCUUGGUGAUUUGUGUUACGGUGAGGUUUACUUUUUGAUACUGGUGAGUCCUGCUUAUCAGAUGAAAGUGCUUACAUUCAAGAAAAGUUAGAAAAGGAUUACAAACUCUGUGAUGGUCACUUUAGAAGAAACUUUCUUUGCAAUCUCAUUAGAAAACUCAC